Molecule: ribosomal RNA, 1481 nt
Filed under: Microbacterium sp. BMA-5
Lineage: Bacteria; Bacillati; Actinomycetota; Actinomycetes; Micrococcales; Microbacteriaceae
Description: 16S ribosomal RNA
Rfam family: Bacterial small subunit ribosomal RNA
Source: RNAcentral
AGAGUUUGAUCCUGGCUCAGGAUGAACGCUGGCGGCGUGCUUAACACAUGCAAGUCGAACGAUGAAGCCCAGCUUGCUGGGUGGAUUAGUGGCGAACGGGUGAGUAACACGUGAGCAACCUGCCCCUGACUCUGGGAUAAGCGCUGGAAACGGCGUCUAAUACUGGAUACGAACAAGAAUCGCAUGGUUACUUGUUGGAAAGAUUUUUUGGUUGGGGAUGGGCUCGCGGCCUAUCAGCUUGUUGGUGAGGUAAUGGCUCACCAAGGCGUCGACGGGUAGCCGGCCUGAGAGGGUGACCGGCCACACUGGGACUGAGACACGGCCCAGACUCCUACGGGAGGCAGCAGUGGGGAAUAUUGCACAAUGGGCGGAAGCCUGAUGCAGCAACGCCGCGUGAGGGAUGACGGCCUUCGGGUUGUAAACCUCUUUUAGCAGGGAAGAAGCGAGAGUGACGGUACCUGCAGAAAAAGCGCCGGCUAACUACGUGCCAGCAGCCGCGGUAAUACGUAGGGCGCAAGCGUUAUCCGGAAUUAUUGGGCGUAAAGAGCUCGUAGGCGGUUUGUCGCGUCUGCUGUGAAAUCCCGAGGCUCAACCUCGGGCCUGCAGUGGGUACGGGCAGACUAGAGUGCGGUAGGGGAGAUUGGAAUUCCUGGUGUAGCGGUGGAAUGCGCAGAUAUCAGGAGGAACACCGAUGGCGAAGGCAGAUCUCUGGGCCGUAACUGACGCUGAGGAGCGAAAGGGUGGGGAGCAAACAGGCUUAGAUACCCUGGUAGUCCACCCCGUAAACGUUGGGAACUAGUUGUGGGGUCCAUUCCACGGAUUCCGUGACGCAGCUAACGCAUUAAGUUCCCCGCCUGGGGAGUACGGCCGCAAGGCUAAAACUCAAAGGAAUUGACGGGGACCCGCACAAGCGGCGGAGCAUGCGGAUUAAUUCGAUGCAACGCGAAGAACCUUACCAAGGCUUGACAUAUACGAGAACGGGCCAGAAAUGGUCAACUCUUUGGACACUCGUAAACAGGUGGUGCAUGGUUGUCGUCAGCUCGUGUCGUGAGAUGUUGGGUUAAGUCCCGCAACGAGCGCAACCCUCGUUCUAUGUUGCCAGCACGUAAUGGUGGGAACUCAUGGGAUACUGCCGGGGUCAACUCGGAGGAAGGUGGGGAUGACGUCAAAUCAUCAUGCCCCUUAUGUCUUGGGCUUCACGCAUGCUACAAUGGCCGGUACAAUGGGCAGCGAUACCGUGAGGUGGAGCGAAUCCCAAAAAGCCGGUCCCAGUUCGGAUUGAGGUCUGCAACUCGACCUCAUGAAGUCGGAGUCGCUAGUAAUCGCAGAUCAGCAACGCUGCGGUGAAUACGUUCCCGGGUCUUGUACACACCGCCCGUCAAGUCAUGAAAGUCGGUAACACCUGAAGCCGGUGGCCUAACCCUUGUGGAGGGAGCUGUCGAAGGUGGGAUCGGUAAUUAGGACUAAGUCGUAACAAGGUA